Long non-coding RNA from Passer domesticus (house sparrow), 754 nucleotides. RefSeq lists it as uncharacterized. NCBI's taxonomy places the organism in Eukaryota, Metazoa, Chordata, Aves, Passeriformes, Passeridae. The record is from RefSeq and is a predicted model, not a curated record. The transcript is spliced from 4 exons.
CAGUGUCACUCACUGCAGUGCAUUCAUACUGGGGUCAUUUUCUGGGGCUUAACAGCUGAAAAUGAGCAAAACUUUAUAAGUGGUCUGGAGCAGUGUUGUAAGGAAACCCCAGAGCUCCAGAAGUGUUGCAGAAGCCACUGGACACCUCUCCUUGUCAAGAAUUCCUGUGUCAGACUGUUCUGCUUCCAUCAGGCAGCUCCCAGGGCCUCAGGAACUUGGGCAAACAUCCAGAAUGGGAUGAGUGAAGCCAGAGGAGGCUUUGCUGCUGGUGCUGUGCUGUCUCUCCACUUGUCUGAGUGCUCCCAGUAUUCCCAGUGCUGCCCACUGGGGUCACUGGUCUGCCUGGCAGAAGUGGGGACAGCAGGAUCCCAUGGGGAUUCCAGCAGGAAGGAGCAGAGUGGAUGGGACUGGACUCCCCAGCUGGGCUUGUUCUGGCUGAGAAACCUGGAGAUAUUCCUUGACAACCUCCCAAAAUCUGCACAAGCAGUGGAGAAGGAGAAAACAGAGAGCUUUGUACCUAUCCAAAGGAGUGGAAUUGUCCCUGGACUCUGCUGGAGAGCAGAAUGUCACCAGUGCAGAUGACUGGUUUGGGCUGAAAACCAGAAGAUGGGUGCAGAUGUUCAAGAGAAAGCUGGAUUUUUGCCUUUUAACCAGGAAAAAGCUAAGUAUUAAUCCCAAGAAAAGCAUGAAUACCAUUUUUUAUGUUAGAAAAAACCAGGAAAAAUGCAAGGAAUAAUAAUGUUUUAGAAAAAUA